ACUCAAAGGAAUUGACGGGGACCCACACAAGCGGUGGAGCAUGGGGUUUAAUUCGAUAGUAAGCGAAGAACCUUACCCAGGCUUGACAUGUCAGGAAUCCCGCCGAAAGGUGGGAGUGCCGCAAGGAACCUGAACACAGGCGCUGCACGGUUGUCGUCAGCUCGUGCCUUGAGGUGUACUGUUAAGUCAGCGAACGAGCGCAACCCUCAUCCCCUGUUGAUAUUUCAGGGGAGACUGCCGCCUCCAAGGCGGAGGAAGGUGGGGACGACGUCAAAUCAGCGUGGCCCUUAUGCCUGGGGCGACACCCGUGCUACAAUGGCCGGUACAGAGGGCAGCGAAGCCGCAAGGCGGAGCUAAUCCCACAAAGCCGGUCUCAGUUCGGAUUGUAGUCUGCAACUCGACUGCAUGAAGUUGGAAUCGCUAGUAACCGUGAAUCAGCCACGUCACGGUGAAUAUGUUCCUGGGUCUUGUACACACCGCCCGU
Molecule: ribosomal RNA, 484 nt
Filed under: uncultured bacterium
Lineage: Bacteria
Description: partial 16S ribosomal RNA
Rfam family: Bacterial small subunit ribosomal RNA
Source: RNAcentral